Populus trichocarpa (black cottonwood) is the source of this 618-nucleotide long non-coding RNA. RefSeq lists it as uncharacterized. The record is from RefSeq and is a predicted model, not a curated record. The transcript is spliced from 3 exons. Lineage: Eukaryota; Viridiplantae; Streptophyta; Magnoliopsida; Malpighiales; Salicaceae.
AAUUUAUAAAACAAUAUUGAAAACUUAUCAGUUAUUAAUCUGUAAGAGAAUUAAAAAGUACAUCUUUUGUCUGCUAAAUUUGUCUGAAAAAAUGCGCUCCAAGGACAGAAUUUCCUAUUUCUAUGAUGGUGAUGUGGGCAGUGUUUAUUUUGGACCAAGCCAUCCAAUGAAACCACACAGGCUUUGAAUGACACACCAUCUUGUUCUCUCUUACGAGCUUCACAAGAAGAUGGAAGUUUUUAGACCCCACAAGGCAUAUCCGGUUGAGCUUGCUCAGUUUCAUUCAGAGGAUUAUGUUGAAUUUUUGCAUCGGAUUACGCCAGAUACUCAGCACUUGUUUGCGGGGGAAAUGGCUAGAUGUGUGGAUUUUUCGUUGUGAAAUUUAGUUAAGUUUUUUUCCCUAUUUGUGUUGUUAAGUAUCUGUUGUUUUUGUUUGGCGUGGAAUGAGCUGGGGUUCAUGGAUGAUUAGCUAUGAAAGUGAAUUUAGUUUAGGCGAAGAGUGGGGUGUGAUCUUCUUCUUCUUCUUCUUCUUUUUUGUUGUUGAGAGAAUUGACUUAAUGUGCUUGACCUUGUGAAGUCUGGGGCAUGACUCGACAUGAAUGAAGCAUUAGUGACUUG